GGUAUUAUACUUUAAUUACAAAAGACUUGAUUUGCAUUCAAAUAAUAGAAUAAACUUAUUUUCUUAAUACCA
RNAcentral lists this transfer RNA (72 nucleotides) under Cocculina subcompressa. RNAcentral's name for it is "tRNA-Ala". Lineage: Eukaryota; Metazoa; Mollusca; Gastropoda; Cocculinidae. The record is from RNAcentral.